CCUACGGGUGGCAGCAGUCGAGAAUCAUUCACAAUGGGGGAAACCCUGAUGGUGCGACGCCGCGUGGGGGAAUGAAGGUCUUCGGAUUGUAAACCCCUGUCAUGUGGGAGCAAAUUAAAAAGAUAGUACCACAAGAGGAAGAGACGGCUAACUCUGUGCCAGCAGCCGCGGUAAUACAGAGGUCUCAAGCGUUGUUCGGAAUCACUGGGCGUAAGGCGUGCGUAGGCUGUUUCGUAAGUCGUGUGUGAAAGGCGCGGGCUCAACCCGCGGACGGCACAUGAUACUGCGAGACUAGAGUAAUGGAGGGGGAACCGGAAUUCUCGGUGUAGCAGUGAAAUGCGUAGAUAUCGAGAGGAACACUCGUGGCGAAGGCGGGUUCCUGGACAUUAACUGACGCUGAGGCACGAAGGCCAGGGGAGCGAAAGGGAUUAGAUCCCCAGUAGUC
RNAcentral lists this ribosomal RNA (445 nucleotides) under uncultured bacterium. Its description in RNAcentral is "partial 16S ribosomal RNA". It matches the Rfam family "Bacterial small subunit ribosomal RNA", at positions 338 to 795 of the family's 1533-position model. The record is from RNAcentral.